UUCCUCCCCAUGUUCCUGCUACAUGAUGUUCCACCCAGAAUAACGAGGUCUUACAACCAUGGUCUGAAGAAUCUGAGAGCAUGAGCCAGAAGGAGUGUUUCUGUUCACAGGGUGAGACUGAAGGCAGAGACAGGAGAAGACCCAGAAGUACAUGGGCAGCUUGCCUGACACACUCAGCAGCAACCAACAAGAGACCUUGUCUCCAAAAAGGCACAUGAUCAGUUUAUACUUCCUCCAUCAUUUUUGAAUCAGACAUCACCCAUGUGACUUGCUUUGGCCAAUAAAGUAUACACAGAAGUGACUUAUGCUAUUCUGAGAUGGAAGUAAGAGCCAAUGUACAAUGCGAUUUGUUCUCUUACCACUAUUGCAAUUACUGUGGAAAUGUAUACAGAGAUGGAAUUGCCAGCAGCUAGGUCCUGAACAUGGUGACCCAGAGCCCUGUUUUGAUUCACAUUUGAGAUAGUCAUAAAUAAAUUACUGCCACCUGACAUAUCUAUUAAGAGCUGAUACUUCAACAGCAUAAUAAUAUAUAAACCACACUAAUAUAUAUUAUUGUUAUUACAUUUACCAACAAUGUCAUUUUAGAAACUUGUUAAUAUAGAGAGAUAAAUUUCUUAAAAAAUAAAUUGGUGAACUUUGGAAGAAAUAUGUUUGAUCUUACAGAGAUAAUUACACUUGGACCCCUUGAUUGAGUUUCUAAGGACUUUUAACAGAAAAACUCUGUUACUUCAAAGACAACUGGGGGCAGGGUGCUGGUGAGAUGGCUCAGUGGGUAAAGCAUUUAUUGUACAAGAUAAGGACCUGAGUUCAUAUCCCCAAUACCUAUAUAAAAAGCAAGGCAUUGCGGCGUGCACUUGUAACCCCAAAACAGGGGUGGGGGUAAGUGGACACGGGCAGAUCCCCAGAGUUUGCUGGCUAGCCAAUUGGUGAGCACCAAGUUCA
Nannospalax galili (Upper Galilee mountains blind mole rat) is the source of this 942-nucleotide long non-coding RNA. RefSeq lists it as uncharacterized. The transcript is spliced from 3 exons. The record is from RefSeq and is a predicted model, not a curated record. NCBI's taxonomy places the organism in Eukaryota, Metazoa, Chordata, Mammalia, Rodentia, Spalacidae.